ACUCUGCUGCAUUCAGUGGAACCCCAAAAACCGUCCAUCAAUGACAAAGGUGGUAAACAUGCUGACAGGAAGGUUGCAGAAUCUACAUAUACCACCUAAGCCGUAUAUCUAGUCUGAAAGCCAUCAUAUGCCAUAAAACAUGGAGGACUUUUUUUUGUGAAAGUUUAUAACAUGGAGUACCUUGAUUUAGCAAGCAUGGUCAGGAGUCAGGAGUUACGCUUGAUUUCACGUGUGAACAACUAAACAUAGUAAUGCUUAGACGUAGCAUACACUGUAUUUGGAUCAUUCCACUGUAUCAGGUCACAUGAGGGUGACUUUGUUAGUCUUUGCUAUGUAAUAACUUAAUUCGAAACAUAUCACAUCGAAUUUGAUUUCCAGUGUCAUGGUUCAAUUGUUGAGGUUGCCUAGAAAAGCUGUUACUAUAAUUUCUCUCCACCCUUCAAUAUUGUGUGUUACUCCUCUAAGUCCCUGCAAACCUCAGUAGGUGUUCUACUUUACCAGUUCAUGGUUCAGAAUGCAGCCAAAAUAUUAGAAAAGCAUCAUCAUGCAGACCGCAGGGCAGUUAAGCAAUCAAACCUCAGUAAGGUUUUACUACAUAUCCUUCCCACAGGUUGGAAUUUCAUCGAAAUUGGUGAUAUGCCCGCGCAUUAUCAUCAUGCCGGGGCUAUGAAAUUGUGCGUGCUCAUUCCCUACUCCAAGGUAACACAAUUGUCCUGAGAUCUAGGAAUGCAAAAGCAAGAGCAAGGGCGUUAUUGUUACCUCUGUCAGUACCAAGUAGGAGGCGGAUUCGGAGAUCUGCGCCAGUUUCCGCACGUUGCCCUCAUCGAAGCGCAAGGUGGAAGCAUCGAGGGUCGGAGCCAUUCCGGCAUUCGGAGGUGGUGGUGGGGAGACGUGAGACUCCUGAUCGGCCGCCGAGCUUCGGUAAGGGGCUUACUGGAAUUUGUCAUUCGGUGGGCUACGACUGCGAUCAACGGGAAGCGGUGGCGCCCUGCAACGCGUGACCGGCGCGCCGCAGCGCCGGUGGGUGGGGUACGGCGAAGGAAGCGCUCGGGUUUGGUGGUGCGCCGGAGACGGUGGCGGUAAGGUCGCGAGGUGGUGGCGAGCUGGUGAUGAGCGCGAGGAGAGCAUGGCCCAUGGGCUCGGUUGGGCCCAUGUAGAAAUGUAUCGAGAGUUUGGCGGAUAUUUAUUUUUAUUUUUUUUGCCAUCCUUACUAAGUGUCAACAUUCAAAUGCCAGUUUUACAAAUAUCUUACCAUAUUUACAAAUGCCUUAACAUAUUUGCCAUAGGAGAGAGAAAAAUUCUUAUAUUUUUGCCAAAUUUGUAGACGUGGCAGGCCACGUCGGACGGCCACCGUGUAUAUGCCAUGCGAAAUGACAUAUGUACCCACGCGAGCCCACACUAAGACACCUUCCUUUCCUAUGAUAGCUACGUCCCACUCGUCAUCCCUAACCUCCGUCCCCCCAUCUGCUGAAGUUUCUUAAGAAGCCGUAGCCGCUUCAAAGCUCCCUCUUCCGUUGUCGGCGUCGCUCUUCGGUUUUACCAUCCCCUCUCCCGAACCUGCUCCUGCUCAUCUCUUUCCUUGCCGUGUCGGCGUGCAAUGAGGAGAACGGCCGUGCGCUCGCGGCGCUCUGGCGGGCACAUGACCCUGUCGGGCGGGUCCUGGGUUCCUAGAACCCCCUCCCUCUCCGGCGGUUCCUUUGUCAUCAUCACCUGCGACUGCGUCAAGGCCGUCUCACUACAGGACCCCGGGCUCUCCGGCAGCCUGGCACCUGCGGUCGUUGAGCUCCCUUCCAGGGGCUGUACCUGCACUCCAAUGGCAUCAAGGGACUAAUACCCGCAGACACAGCAGAGAGCGGAGGUAGGCCCGCGGCACGGGGCAAGAUCCGUCGCUAUUGGCCCAUCUGACCAUGAACUGGUCGCGGGCCUCGUGCUCAUGGUGGAUCUGAUGCCGCCGCCACUGGUCCUCGCCGUCGCAUCGUCGACAUGUGCCGACUGAGCGAUUCCCCACGUAACAUAUUUGUCGUGUCCAUUCGAUCCGCCCCUAGGCUCCGCUGUCAAUGCGGGCGCGGAGAUGAGCGUUGGCGGUGGGGAGGAGGUGGUGUUCUACGAGUCGCGGGACCGCUUGCUCUCCUCCUGGUCCACCACCUCUGCCUCAGACGACGACCACGACCACCCGCGACCGGCGAAGAUGGGUAGGAUAUGGUGCCACGGCGGCGAGGAGCUCAUUGCGGUUCGUGCGACAUGCGUUGCUACCCAAAGUAGAUGGGAGGGAGGGAGAUUAGGGAUGACAAGUGGGAUCCAGUUCUCAUAGAGAGAGGGAGUUGGGAGGAAGUAGACUGGCUGGCUAGGGCAAAUAGGUCAUUUCGCAUGAUCUAUCCAAGCUGGCCACCCGACGCUGGCUUGCCACGUCUGCAAAUUUGGCAAAGAUAUAAGAAUCCUUCUCUCUCCCGUGGCAGAUAUGUUAGAGUAUUUGUAAAGCUGGCAUUUGAAUGCCGGCACUCUGUAAGGAUGGCAAAAAAUUAAAUAUCCCAAAUUUAGACCGUAAAUAGAAGGCGAAAAUGUUCAGAGUUCGACGAAUUGAAACAUCUCUCGAAUCUUUAAAACACAAAACCUGAUCCUGAUAUUGGGCCAAAACCUGAUCCUAAAAGACAUUGCUAAGGGUCUAUGUUAUCUACAUGAGGAGUGCAUGAAGAGGAUUGCUCACUUGGACGUCAAACCACAAAACAUCCUCUUAGAUGAAAACUUCAAUGCUAAAAUUUCUGAUUUCGGAUUAAGUAAGCUCAUUGAUCGGGAUAAGAGCCAAGUGAUCUGAUUACAAGAAUGAGAGGCACACCUGGAUAUUUAGCUCCUGAGUGGUUGACAUCCCAAAUCACAGAAAAAGCCAAUGUAUAUAGCUUUGGCGUUGUGGUCAUGGAAAUCAUCAGCGGUAGAAAGAAUCUUGACACUUCGCGGUCUGAAGAAAGCAUCCAUCUUAUUACCCUUCUAGAAGAAAAGGUGAAGAGUGAUGAGUUAGAAGAUUUGAUUGACAAGUACAGUAGUGACAUGCAAGUACACAAGCAAGAAGUAUUGGAGAUGAUGAGGCUUGCAAUGUGGUGUUUACAAAUUGAUUCUAAAAGAAGGCCUCAAAUGUCUGAGGUGAUCAAAGUCUUGGAAGGUCACAUGAACGCAGAAAGCAAAAUUGAUCAUAACUUUGUCGCAACAAGUAAAACAAUGUUUGGUAUUGCUGAAAAUACAGGUUCCUCAGAUCCACCUCAAGCCUCACAUUUAUCAGGCCCCAGGUGAAAUGGGGGUAACUGUGAGAAGUUAGUAGCCUAGGUUAGACACAGAUAUGUGUAUCCAGGAAAAGCCAUUAUCUGUUUUAUUUUUUCCCAAGUUACUAUAAUUCUUUUGUUUGGUUUCCCAUUGUAACACAAAUCUGUUGUAGCAGUUUUCUUUUUCUGAAAGUUAUAAUCAAAAUGCUAAUAUGAACAGGCUCAAAGCAAAUUGGGAGUUGGGUUUUUUUAUCUCCAAAAUGCUGAAGUGGAAAGAGAGGGAAAAAAGUAGUACUAGUACAUAAGUGGGUGGUAUUGCAUAUUCUCCAAAGUGUUUCCAGCCAUGGAUUUUCUACUGAAAUUAAGUUUCUUGUCCUAGUCGUGAACUACUUUUCCGUGUAUCGCAAAAGUGUUACGGCCUUGCUGUUGUGGGGAUUCAUCUCCACUACAAACCUUGAUUAUCAGUAUCGAGUGACUCUAUGCAGCUGCACAACGAAUUAACUACCACCUCAUUGCACAAGCCAUCCAGAGUGAGCAACCGGAAGGCAAGAGACACUCACCUAAAUUAAUGCAGAGAAGGGAUGCGGCGAUGGAUGAGGCGCCCUGCAGGGCGGCCUCCUUCCCCUAUGGUGGUGGUCGGUGAGGACCGACUUUGUACCGGGGGCGCCUGAGAGGACGGGAAGCAGAGAUCCUCCAGUGGAACAGCACAGCGGCGGCACAUGCAAGGAGAGCAGAUUGUCCAGAUCGCCGCCGUCGCCGCCUCAGUCGGAGCACCGGCACCGCCAGGAUGCGUGUGCAACGGGACUUGGGAGAAGGAAGGAGAUGGAGAUGGACGGAUGGUCUCCCCGCGACAGUUUGGGCUGAGGCUCUCUAUAGUUGAGGUGGGCUGGGCCUCCUUGCAAUAAUAACGAUUGGGCCUUGAGGCACUAGUACACGGUUGACUGGGGAAGCAGUCCACCAAAGCUCAGCCCAUAGAGGGUAAGCCUCUCAUGAGGACCGUGUUACUUUGAUAAAAAAAACGUUAAAGUGAGCUUAUGGUCAAACAGCAUAUCAAGAGGAUCCAGGCUGUUUCUCGCGGUCAAAAAGCUCGAUGCUUACAACUUCAACAAACAGAUGUGUUUAGGGCUACAUGGGGAUGCAAUGCAUUAUGAUGAUCAUCUGUGCCGAUCAAAAUUACCUAGCAUGCAUCGGGCAUGCAUGACAGAGCGGCUGCAGCACAAUCACUGAAUGAAAAAAAACCAUCUCUAUGCAAUUGGCAAACAUGAAGUUAUCCAACGGCCAUACUGCUACUAUUGAUCUCCAUCAUAGGCCAUUUGUUCUGGUUAUAGUGGAUCCAGCCUCAACCCUGGAGAUCAAGCACGAAUGCCCAAAUGUUUCCGACCUUUCCUCCAAUACCUACAUUUUACAACUUCACUUUACGAAGCUUGAUAUGCAUAAUAUCGAUAUGCACAAGAAAUGCAAUGCUAGGAAAGCCUUUUUUUGUUAUCUUUUGUUUUUAAGGAAGGCAUCCAAAAGGCAGCGCUGGAUUGGAUGAGCCACCCGACAUGGGCCCUAUGGCGGUGUCCAAUGAGGACAGACGGCGUGCAGAGGUUGAGAGGGCCAUCCAGAUCGCCGCAAUCAGAAGGCCCACCAGCGGCCUACUGUCGCUCCAGCGACCUCGCGCCGCUGGGAUUAGGGUUCGGGGUUGCCGAACCUAGAGAGGAUCGUCGGAGGCUGCCGGACAGGCGGUGGGGUCGGUCAAGAUGGAGGCGAGGCGGGGGGCGGCCCCCGCCGGAGCGGUAGGAGAUGGCAGCCGGACAGGGAUGGUGGCGGGGGCGUGGAGCUCGGAAAAGAUUAGCGAUGGCCGCAAUGGGUGGCGGAGGUGUCGGAGCGAUGCCAGAGCCAGAGGAGGAGGUGGUAGGCAGGGGAGUUGGGCCGGCCUGUCUGCGCCCCUCCUUCUUCCACUUCUGGGACGCGCUCCCUCGCAGACGCACUUGCGACUGCGAGUAGCGCCCGCCAUCGCCGCCACGGCCGGGGCACCGGAGCCGCCGGGAUGCAUGUGCGGAAGGGGAUGGUUCCCCCGUAAAAGUAUGGGCCUGCUACCUCCAUAUCUGAGUUGGGCUGGGCUUCCCUUAAAUAGUGAGUGGGCUGUGUUUCUUCGACCAAAACCAAACCGAAUAACCGGCCCGCGCGCGUGCUAUCGGGGGAAGCGCAUGGCGAGCAGCAAGCUCGUCAGCUAGCGCUGCUAGUGGGGGCGGCCGCCGCUCAACGAAGAAGAACUGAAGAACCAGCACGCCGACGAAGCUUCACCAUGCCGUGCAUGGCUCAGACCUGGAAGUUGGAAGUGCAGCAGAACCCGUGGAUGUACGUGUGCUGCGAAUGCGCACUGGCCACUGGGGCAAUGGAAAGUUCAGAAAUGCUGCAGAAUCUAUCCACAUGUCAUGAUGCUUUCGGCUAACCAUCAGAUGAGUUUGUUCGUUCACCUGUAUGAAUGAAUCCACAAAGUUGGAAAAAAAUCUAUUUUAAUCGCGAACAGCAAGCAUAUUUCCUGCUUGAAAGUGAACAUUUCUCGAUUUGUGAAGUACAAGGGUUGACGAUAUUCACAACAAAGGUCAGGUAUCUACAAAUGUAAAACGGGACUGUUAGCCGCAGUCGUCUCCAUGGAUCAGUCAGUAACAACCGAUGUAAGUAUAAAAAAAUAACAACCGAUGCGUACAAUAGUCACUCAAGUUCGGUUACUUUAUGAGAGAAUCGGCAUUAGAGAAAGGUAGCAAAGUAGGGGGAUAAAUACUAGAGGAAGGGCAAUGAUAGAGAUUGCGUACUGUUUCUGAAUCUAUUGAUCAAUGAUCUGAUUCCAUGCCUUGCCCUGAUAAUUGUAUAGCCCCCUGCCUGUGACUUGCGAGUUGGUUGGGCCAAUCCCAUUCCAAGUGAAGGCAGUCUCCAGACCACCAAUAUGAAGAUACAGAUAAGCCCUAAAACUGAACUCCAGUGCUUCUUCCAGGGGUUCGUCCAGGGACCAUAUGACAUGACAGUGUUACCUGCAGCAGCAUAACUGAAUGAAAAUACCCUCUCUCUCUAUAACAUGCAGUUCGCAAACAUAAAAAAGUUUAUCCAACAUCCAUCAUACUUCUCUAGAUCUCCAUAUAAAAUAGACACACACAGCCUUAACCACAUGAGCCUGGAGAUGCUCGCCUCAAGAUCAAUUGCCAAUAAUUUUCUUAAAUUUCUCGCUUUUCUCCAUAGGAUAAGCAUGGCAUGCAUAUCUUGUCACUAAGAUCUUGUUUGGUUCGCUUCCAAAAUGUGCCGUAUCAAAAUAUAGGCAAGCUCAUAAAUUUUGGCACUUGUUUGGUUGAAGGCCAAAAAAAGUAGCCCACCUAACUAAGUGCUAUUCUAAACUUGCCAAGAUUUUGGUAAAAAAAAAAGAUAGGCUCCCACGUUUUGGUAUUGCCCAUAUUUGGACAUGCCUAUAUUUUGGCAUCCAUCCAAGUACGUUCUAAAACAUUUGGUAAUCUAGCUGGAUUACAAGAAUGUCCAGUAGCCAAGUCAUAAAAAAAAUCCACCCAUAAUGACCGACGACGUCAUGAUCGCAAGGUUAUGUCUUGAAAUGAGACGUCUUAGCCCAUUGUUGAGGCCAUCACUGGUCAGUCAAAGCAACUAAGGCUGAGCUGACUCCACGUGGCUGCAUCUGAAUAGUAGCAUUCACAUAUGCCGUGCACGCUGGGUCACAUACUAAUUUUCAUUCCACCUGCCGCCGGAGGCUGUGGCAACACGUGCAUGGUGUUCAAUCAGGAAAAGAAGUGCUGCAAUAAUAGGGUGGGAUGGUGCCUAGACUUGCGAACCCACCACUGACUCGGUGCUCUUCAUCCGAUGUGCCUAGACGCCUGUAGCUACACGUUCGACAGUAGCUCGAGCGCUGUGUGUUCAAUUGCAGUCAGAAUUCUUCCCAACGCAUUCGCUCACGUUUCAGAACUCGCGUGACCUGAUCAACAAGUCCUGAUUGUUUAACUGGCGCCUCGACUGCGCAUCCUGAGUUCCUGACCCGUGUAAAGGACAAGAUGAGCACCUUGCUGGAAUGUGCAGAGAGGAGUAGUACACACAUAUGGAAGGGUGCAGAGAUCAUAUCAACUAAAUUUUAGGAAUUUAGUGAAGUGCUAAAUUGGAACUUUGGAACUCAAAUCUGAUGCAAUAUGUUUCUUAUUAAGAGUAGUACAUGGUGAAGACCGGCAACUCUUGCCUCAGGAGGAUAAUACAGGGGAAUGAUAAAGCAUUACAUGAUAGUGCUGGCAUAAAUAUGUGUGGAUUAUGCAUAGCUGCCAUAUACUCCUGAGGCAAGAGAAAACGACGUGUUCUCGAGGUCUUUUUAGGAAACCACACAAUCACUGUAUCACACACGGACAACCAUGAGCUUAGUACGACAAUCUACAAACGGACAGACAUCUGUCUCCAUACAUUUAAGACACACAUACAGAAACAAAGUAUUUCACUCAUCCUCCUCCUCUAUCACAUUCAGUUCGGAGGACAGAGAGUACGAAGCCACUUCAGGAAGCAUCUCCUCGUCACAGAAGAACGGCCUCGGGGGCAUUUGCAGAGCGUCCGCAUCCCCUUCGAGCAUCUCUAUGACCUCGCUCAUCGUCGGCCGAUCACGAGGCUUCAUCUGGAUGCACCAGAGCCCAACGACGCACAGCUUCUUCUCCAGCUCGUGCAUGUCGACAUCUUCACUGAUCUCCCCAACCUGCUCCCCAGUCAGCUGGCCAUACACCAGCGAUGGGUAGUACGCCUGGCUGGAGCUCCCGGCGUCCGGGUCAGCGUUCCUGCGCCCUCCGGCCAUCUCCAGUAGCAGCAUCCCGAAGCUGUACACGUCGGACUUGCUGGAUAUGGCGCCGAAGCUCCGUGACACCAUCUCCGGAGCUAUGUAGCCGAUCGUUCCCCGCAUGGCGCUCAGUGGCACGAAGCUGUUAUCCCUUGGGAACAGCUUGGCGAGCCCAAAGUCAGCAACUUUCGGGAUGAAGUUGCUGUCGAGAAGGAUGUUGUGCGGCUUGAUGUCGAAGUGUACGAUCUGCAUGUCACACCCCUGGUGCAGGUAGUUGAUGCCUCUAGCGAUGCCUAGGGCAAUCUCAUUGAGCUUGUCCCACGAGAAGCUCUUCUCCGACGAGAAGAUGUACCUGUCGAGAGAUCCCCGGGGCAUGAACUCGUAGAUGAGUGCCCUGACCGUUUCCUCGGAGCAGAACCCGACGAGGCGCACCACAUUAACAUGGUGGAUCUUGCCAAUGGUGGCGACCUCGCUGAUGAAGUCUUCUCCGUUGCAGCUGGAGCUGCCUAGCAUCUUGACCGCAAUGGGAACGCCGCCUGGCAGCAGCACGCCCUUGUAUACGGAGCCAUAGCCUCCUUGGCCGAGCUUCUCUCUGAAAUGGCCUGUGACCGCAAUGAUGUCUGUGUAGGCGUAUCUCGUUGUUACAAGCAUUUGCUGCAUUCGUAGAAACCUCUCGACUGCAUCGAUGGUUAUUCUUGUUUUCCAGUACCUAUGGGCAAGGAAGGCAAACACUGCCAGAGGCACCAAUAUGUACCUGCAAAGAACUGCACAGAAACCAAGGUUGUGUAUAUGAAAAAAGAAAUGCUUUGGCGAGAAUGUGUUAAUUCAAUAGAAUGAUGCAGCUAAGACGAUGAUGUAUGGAGAUCUGAAGUGAGUACCAUGAAUAAACUUGAGAACCAACAUAGCAGCCGCUAAUAUUUCACUGAUGAUGCUGAGGAGAAAAGAUGUCACACGAUUAUUAGCUGAUAUAAAUUGCAUAGCAACGCACCACCAGAAAUCAAAGUCAAAUGUAAGAAUGUCCACAGUCCGAUGCUUGGUGCCCUUGUUAAGGAAAUCAUAACGGAACUCACUGCAAGACCAUGCCAUAGCAUAGAAAUUAAGGAAUUACAUUGGGACGAACCAAAUAACGCCUUUACCCUUCGAGUAAUGAUCAGAUACUCACCUCUUCGACCGUACGAGGCACUCUCUGGUGUUCUCAAGAGUCGUAUAAGGAAAUCGAAGAGCAAAUCCUUCCCUCAUGAGCUUAAUAACAUCUAGAUAGCUUAAUCCCUCAAAAGCAUUAAUAUCAUCUAGAUAGCUUGCAUUCCUAGACACCAGCAUUUCUGGACCACCCCAAGGAGUCAUAGCCAGGAAACCGCACGAGGGCGCAAAAUAAUCAGCUCUGGCAGAGUAGGAAGGUCUUAUUGACACAUAGAUGAAAGAAUCUGCUGUGCUCAGGCAUUUGACCAAUGAACCAUUGUACUUUAUUUCCUGCGAGCAAUUCAUAAAGAUAGCCAGCCAAUCACCGGGGUGGGACAGCUCAAUGCUGCGAUGUGAGUUGCCAUGGUAGUUAUAAUUAUCAUCUCUGUAGUCCCACCGCGGAAGGGGGCAACUGUUUUCCAUGCCCAAGUUGGUGUCAACAACCCAGAAGUGAGAAAGAGUGUAGUUGAUGCUAAGCACGUUGUAUGUUCCACUGCCGAUGCGGAUCGUAGCGCUGGUCUCUGUGCAAACCAGCUCGUACGAUUGAACACCACACCCAUGUGGAUCACCUUGCCGACGGAAGGGAUACGAUACGUUGCUAAAACCACCGCAGGAGAAAGGAGGACAGAGAACAUGAUGCCGUCCCCCUACAUCUGCAACAAGAACAGCAAACACAGAUAAUAAUACAGAGAAGGCUCGCAGGGAAGUAGUAGAGCAAUGAGAUGAAGCAGACAUCGCCAUGGCAGGAAGGUUCGUGCUACAUAGAACGGCAAGCCAACGAACGGGGGCAAAGAUGACUGAGUAGCUAUAAAGUCACUACUCAAGGUAGCAGCAGGGGGAGCAAUCAAUCACUAUUUGUGCAAGAAAACUGCGUAUACUAGCAUUACAUGAUCGUGAUGCCACUGACUUUUAACUCGGUAGUCUUUCUUCUCCGUUUCUCUUUUUUGUCCGCGUGGGCCCUUUGAUGGGACCGAAUGGUACUAUAUGAUUGUGAUGCCACUAACUUUUGACCUGGUAAUCUUUCUUUUCCAUUUCUCUUUUUUAGUAUGCAUGGCCCCUUUGAUGGGACCGAAGAGGAACAAGUUUAACCGUUCAUUGAGGUAUAAUAUAUUUUUUUACUUGGAUAUUGAAUUGUGUUGUGUGUGUGUUUACGAAAUAUAGUACAAAUGCAAAUGCUUACAUGCAUGCAUGCACACUCUCCCUUAUAUAAGCAUCUCUAAGAAUCUGAACCAGCAGAUCUCAAGAUUGACAAGUUAGCAUAUACGCCUCACCGUGAGCGGGCACGCUAUCUACCACUACAAGAAUAGUUUCAGGAAAAUGUAAGAACCCGUACCAAGUUAAUAACUCGAAUCCGGAUAUGCAAAUUCUACCAUAAGAAAUUUUACCAGCUAAACUAGCUUCAAUCCGCUGUUCUGUAAGUUUUACUCCUUAAUAGAAAAUACCGCACUUGGUGUGUUCUCCAAAAGAAAAAUGCAUCCUUAGUGGGCAUGAUAAAAAGGUGCAUCCUUAAAAUGCAUCCUUAGUGGGCAUGAUAAAAAAAGUGCAUCCUUAGUGGCAUGAUAUGAAUUUUCCGUAGGCUACACAACCAGAACAAGGCAGGCAUCAGGCCACCAGCAAAGAAGAAAUAAUUCAUUAAUAAUAGUGGUAUAAAAUACGGAAUUUAAAAAAUCUGUAAGAAAAAUACUCCGGUUUUAAAUAUAUGAUAUGAUUUAAACUAAUUAAGCUGUCCAUAACACCAUAUAUUUAAUAUCGGAGUACGUGACCUUCCUCAGUAGAUUUUUCAAGCACUUCUGUGGUGUCUGGUUGUUUCCUGCGAACUAAUUAAGAUGCUCUACGCACAACGCAAUGCAACCACCGUAACCCGGCAUCAGUUUCCCUUUUAAACUGUAAUACUCCACACCAGUCACUCAGCUAUCACCAAACCUUAUUGGAAUUCAAAACUUGGAAAAUCAUAUCACUAUCCAACCCGGAACUGGCUGGCCAAGACAGGUUCCCUGCUGGCCGUGCUCCAGACCUGGUCCUGGCCAACAAAAAACAGUGGGAAAAAUACUAGGAAAAUUCAGAAAUGUUUAUUAGGAAGGUCUUAAUUACUUCUCCUAUUUUAAAUUGUAAGUCGUUUUGUCUUUUCUAUAUACAUAAUAUUUACUAUAUAUUUAGAUAAUAGUGUAUAUCUAGAUAAAUGUAUACUAAAAUCUAUGUGUCUAGAAAACGAAAAAGAUUUAUAAUUUAGAAUGGAGGGAGUAACUGAUUUGGAGGCUGACUCCAUUUUUUUAUUUUACCCAUAGGAGGGCAUUAAUAAUAAUAAGACGAAGAUAUAUUAACUUGCAAGAAAAUCAUACAUCUUGCAAAGUGCUCAAAUGGGUCAUACUCACGCAUCUUGACUCGGGAGGUGCAAUUGUGACCUGGGCCCAUUUUGCGUGGCCUGGACGGCCAGACUAGACUGCACCAGUUCACCCCCAUUUGCUGAUGUGUUGUCUUCUAACUUUCACAUGCCAUCAAUCCCAUAGGCUGCUAGGCAGUAGUGACCAGACCAUCACAUAUAGCAACAAUCAAGCUAAUCCUCGCCAUAGGUCCUCCAUCAUCUCAUCAGCAGCUUCCAGCCGGGCCGAUGGACCCUUCUUCAACAUUCUGUGGCUCCUACUGUACCAAAUCACCAGUUUGUGCAGAUAGAUGCGCAAAGAUUCCAGGACCAAAUCACCAGGUUGAAGGGGUUAGAUGUAAGAGCUGCAGAAAUUGCUUCAUCCUAGCUAUACGCUGGCACGCUGCCGUCAUGGUCUUAACCACCACUUUUUGUUGUGCACUGCCGUCGUGGUUGCGCAGGUGCCGAACCAACUCUUCAGCCACUGAAACACGGCAGUAAGUUCCCCCCAGUGGCCGUAAAGAAUCAUCGCCAAUUACUCAUCUAUCACAAACCCAUCAGAAUUCAAAGCUCUCAUGUAGUGCUUUGACUAUGGAAAAUAUUAGUCAAGAAUGCAUCAAUACCAAGUAACUGAUAGGAAUAGUUUUCGUAUGAUGUGACCGCAAAUAAAUUAUCACUGGUUUCCUGAAACCCCGUCACUAUCCCAGCAAUUGAAGUUCCAUUGGCAGCAGGAAUUCCAGCAAGCAGCUAUCAUGAUAAGGACGGAAUCCAUCCGUCCAAGAGGUUAAGGCCCUGUUUGGCUCCGCUUCUAGCCCCGCUUCCUAGCAAUUUUAAGCCGCUACCCGGCCAAACGCUUCGCUUCUUGAAGCGCUUCCCCCGCCAGCGCUUCCCCGACCUCGUUCAGAAACGCGGGUAACGAGCAGCGGGAGCGGACCAGCUUCUAGGCCGCUUCCCCGCGCUGGCCCCUGCCUCCCCGCGCCGGCCCCCGCCUCCCCCCGCGCGCCGACCCCCGCCUCCCCCCGCGCCGGCGGCCCCUCCCCCGCCCCACGCGCCGGCCCCCGCCUCCCCCCGCGCCCCGCGGCGGCCCCUGCGCCGCUCCCCCGCCCCUCCCCCGCCCCACGCGCCGCUCCCCCGCCUCCCCCCGCGCGCCGGCCCCCGCUUCCCCGCGCUGGCCCCCGCCUCCCCCCGCCCCCGCGGCGGCCCCUGCGCCGCCCCCCGCGGCGGCCCCGGCGCCGCUUCCCCGCGCCGGCGGCCCUUGCGCAGCUCCCCCGCGCCGGCCUCCGCUCCCCGCGCCCGCCUCCGCCCCGCGCCCGCCCCCGGCCUCUGCCCCCGCUCCCCGCGCCCGGCGCUGGCCCCCGCCCCCGUGCCCCGCGCCGGCCUCCGCCCCCGAGCCCGCCUCCGCCCCCCGCGCCCGCCUCCGCUCCCCGCGCCCGCCUCCGUCCCCGCGCCUAGCGCCGGCCCCCGCCCCCGCGCCCUGCGCCGCCCUGCGCCGGCCCCCGCCCCCCCCCCCCCCCCCGCCCCCCACCCGCCCUGCGCCGGCCUCUGGCUCCUAAUUGCAUGAUUAAUUGUAUCAUUAUCUUGCUUGACAGUAAUCUAUGAUUAAUUUUAUGAUAUAUUAAUUGUUAAUAAUUUAUAAACAAGUUUCAGCUGUGCCAAACAGGGCCUGUGACCAGCUGCUUCUUUAACCAGCUGCUUCUCUUGCCAGCUAGCCACCAGCUGGCUUCUGAAUAAGUUUCAGCUGUGCCAAACAGGGCCUAAAGCAAACGUGUGCUCAUUCUGAAUCACUUGCAAACCUUCUCUUCGCCCACCUCCAUCCCCAAAUACACUCCAUGGAUUUGCAUAAAUUUCUUCUCUCAGCGCUGCUGCUUUCACUUCUGAACUAUGCAUCCUCUGCUGCCAAAUCAUGGGAAGAAGAAGACUUCCUCAAAACUUGUCCAUCACAUAGAUGCAGCAAACAUCAUGGGCCAGAGAUCAGGUUCCCGUUUCGGCUUUCAACCCACCCUCGAUCAUGUGGCGCACCUGGGAUGCAGUUGUCAUGCUCUGGCCAUGACACAAUCCUAGAUCACCCAAUUCUUGGUUCCUGAAAAGUGACUGCAAUAUAUUACAGGCAUCUUGUCAUGAACGUCAUCCCACUCGCGUACUCAUCAUCAAGCUGCCCGCUUCAGAAGCUCAUCUCAACAAAUCAAUCUACUGAUGUGUAUAGACCUAUUCAUCAGCGGGAUUUAUAUGAUUCAGUACUAGUAGGUUGCUCAAUAGAUUCUAUAGCAACAAAUCAAGGAGGUAUAGUUGGCCCAAGCUCUUGCCUAAGCCUCAGUAACAACGCAAGCCAGUUCUGGUAUCUGGUGCUAUCUCGAACAGAUAUGUCUACUCUUCCCUUAGGGUGUGUGGUGGUCGCAAAAUCCAUCCCAAUACCCUACACUUAUGAUAAAAAUGGCCCAAAGUUUCGGACAUUCUUUGGCAAGCUACUCUUCAAAGAUAGGGCAAAAGGAGCAAUCGACUUAGGCGAAACACCAUUGAAUUGGAGCCUCAGCAGCAUUACCAGCAUUUGUCAAAGGUGUGAACAGGAAGGGCGACAUUGUGGAUUCAGUUCAGACCAUGGACAAGCAUUCUGCCAGCAUCACGGUAUUAUUUUCCUAGCCCAGAUCCCAUACUGUCGUGGUGUUCCAUUUUAAGUUGUAGCAAACUGCAUCUUCAUUUAGCAUGUAUUAGCCUUAGAAUCUCUACUUUAUCAAACGCCCUCACACUUCCCACAAGAUUUCCACUAACGGCUGAAUAGUUUUACAAAAUUAUACUGUGAGCCUUCUGUUUCUGCGUAGUAAGAUCAUGUUAACGCUCCUUGUUUUUCUAUCUUAUGUUGUAAAGGAACUUUGAGUCACAUUAACCUACAAUAUACAGAUUUUUGCAUACAGAUAAACUAUUUUACAAAAUUCAACUGCAAAUAAGUCCAAUCGGUUCUUCUCUAUCACUAGCUAGCGUUCCGUUGUAGAUCUUUGUGGUAGCUUACAGUAAAUGUAGAUUCUAUAGAGACUAGAGACAUCCAAUGCCCAAUGGCUAGCUUCUGGAAGCACAAUAAGGCUAUAGAGUCAUCCAAGGCAACAGAUGAUAAUGUUGAAUUAUAAUGGUAAUGUUCGAAACAGGUAAAUAGAAAUAAGAUACAUUUGUAUAAGGACAACUGCAAUCAUCAGUAAAUUGGCUAGUGACUUAAUCAUGGAAGUUUUUGUCUGAUGGAGUAAUAGUUCUUAUACCAUAUACCUGCGUGUGCAAGUGAAAAAUCCAUAUUGGUGAAAAUAAUAUCAUUAUUAUGUAAAAAACUUCUAUAAUAUAUAUUUUUUACUAGAUUAUAAAAAGGAAUUGUCAAAAUCUCUUAAUAGAUACUGCAAAAGGUUAGGAACCUCCGUUCAGUGAGAGCUGCAAAGGUGCACUGUUGCAGGCAGCAUUUUAGAAAUGCUUUAAUUUUUCUUGUAAAAACAAAUCACGGGAAGUCUAAUUUUCACUCUUCAUACCUGCAGGUUCGAAUGUCAAACUCAUUGCAGGUAACACUGCCACUGAAAAUUUACCUUUCCGAUUGAAUUUUUUGUUGCUACACCCCAAAUUUUAUGCUAUAAUGUUCAAUAAUAACCACUAUAUUAUUUUCCAACCAAGUAAUUUGACCAUGGGACAUAGCUAUUCCUUUUCAUUGUGCGGUUUGCUCAUUUAUUUUCUUUUAAUUCAGCUACAACAUCGGUAGCCACCUUCAUUGUUCUAGUGACCACUGCACUCUAUCUUUUACUGAAGAAAAGAUAUAAUGAAGCAAUACAUUUGAAAGUUGAAAUGUUUCUCAAGACAUAUGGCACCUCCAAACCCACAAGGUACACUUUCUCUGAAGUUAAGAAGAUAGCAAGACGGUUCAAGGAAAAAGUAGGCCAGGGUGGAUUUGGAAGUGUUUACAAAGGACAGCUACCAAAUGGUGUAUCAGUGGCGGUCAAGAUGUUAGAGAACUCUACAGGCGAGGGAGAAGAUUUCAUCAGCGAAGUAGCAACCAUUGGGCAAAUUCACCAUGCAAAUAUUGUCCGUCUCCUGGGAUUUUGCUCUGAAGGAACAAGACGCGCGCUUAUUUACGAAUUCAUGCCUAACGAGUCAUUGGAGAGAUAUAUAUUCUUGCAUGAUUCCAGUAUUUCCCAAGAGCUUCUAGUACCUCACAAAAUGCUACAGAUUGCUAAAGGCAUUGCUAGAGGAAUGGAGUACCUGCAUCAAGGAUGCAACCAGCGCAUCCUCCAUUUUGACAUCAAACCUCACAACAUCUUGCUAGACUACAGCUUCAAUCCAAAAAUUUCGGAUUUUGGCCUUGCUAAGCUGUGUGCAAGGGACCAAAGCAUUGUUACCUUGACUGCAGCAAGAGGCACAAUGGGCUAUAUUGCCCCGGAGAUAUAUUCUCGAAAUUUUGGUGGGAUAUCAUACAAGUCAGAUGUUUACAGUUUCGGCAUGCUGGUGUUAGAGAUGUUGAGCGGAAGAAGAAACUCAGAUCCAGGUAUUGAGAACCAAAACGAGGUUUACCUCCCACAGUGGAUCUACAAGAGAGUAAUCGCUGGGCAAGACCUGGUACCUAAUAGGGAAAUUACAAAAGAGGAGAAAGAAAAGGUGAAGCAGAUGGCCAUUGUGGCACUCUGGUGCAUUCAGUGGAACCCCAAAAACCGUCCAUCAAUGACAAAGGUGGUAAACGUGCUGACAGGAAGGUUGCAGAAUCUACAUAUAGCACCUAAGCCGUAUAUCUAGUCUGAAAGCCAUCAUAUGCCAUAAAACAUGGAGGACUUUUUUUGUGAAAGUUUAAAGCAUGGAGUACCUUGAUUUAGCAAGCAUGGUCAGGAGUCAGGAGUUACGCUUGAUUUCACGUGUGAACAACUAAACAUAGUAAUGCUUAGACGUAGC
RNAcentral lists this long non-coding RNA (16483 nucleotides) under Panicum hallii. RNAcentral's name for it is "long non-coding RNA (PHAL_LNC000587)". Lineage: Eukaryota; Viridiplantae; Streptophyta; Magnoliopsida; Poales; Poaceae. The record is from RNAcentral.